RNAcentral lists this ribosomal RNA (661 nucleotides) under Lottia orbignyi. RNAcentral's name for it is "Lottia orbigny partial 16S ribosomal RNA". It matches the Rfam family "Bacterial large subunit ribosomal RNA", at positions 1817 to 2601 of the family's 2925-position model. Lineage: Eukaryota; Metazoa; Mollusca; Gastropoda; Lottiidae. The record is from RNAcentral.
GGCCCCCCGCCCAAUUAUUCACGGGGGGUCACACCUGCACAAUGACCUGAGGGUUCAAUUGCCGCGGUAUUCCUGACCGUGCAAAGGUAGCGUAAUAAUUAGCCUAUUAAUUGUUGGCCUGUAUGAAUGGUACGACGCUGGUGGCGCUGUCUCUUCAGCACUUAUUUGAACUUAACUUUUGGGUGAAAAGGCCCAAAUUUUCCUGAAAGACGAUUAGACCCUGUCGAACUUUAGGUAGACUGAGACCAGCAACGCAAGCUGCUGUUUCUUCGAAAACCUUUGGUUGGGGAAACCGGAGGCUAAAAAAAACGCCUCCCCCUCUUUCUAACCGAAACGCCUUGGCUGGGGCGACCCCCAGCCUACUGUGGGGUAUUAAACCUACAAAGGUCCCACAAACACAGAAAGGCACGGCCCCUAGGAGAGUAUCUUUUUUUUCCCUUGAAAAAGUCUGACAAGACAUGAUUAACUAAAAAAAUGAACCUAAAGAUCCUCUUAUAGAGGAAAACUAUUAACUGGGAAGAGUUACCGCAGGGAUAACAGCGUAAUCCCCCCGGCGAGACCACAUUAAGGGGGGGGUUUGCGACCUCGAUGUUGGCUUAGGGCUUCCUGGGAGUGCAGAGGCUCCCAAGGGUUGGUCUGUUCGACCAUUAAAGCCCUACGU